Bos taurus (domestic cattle) is the source of this 2253-nucleotide long non-coding RNA. Lineage: Eukaryota; Metazoa; Chordata; Mammalia; Artiodactyla; Bovidae. The record is from Ensembl.
GAACUAUGUGAAUUUCCAUUUUGAACCCUGCAGGAAUCAACCAAGCACAACUGUGCUGGUAACUUGUAAAUUCCUGCACCUGGAAUGUCCAGGUCUGAAGACACCACACUUCCAGCUUUGCUCUAUUUGAACAACCGUGUGGCUCAGACCAUGAACUCCUUACUGCCAAAUUCAGACUUAAAUUGAAGAAAGUAGGGAAAAACCACGAGACCAUUCAGAGAUGGACAGCCUACCCCCAGCCAAGGACAGAGAUGAAAGCGGCGCCCAGCAGCCCAGUCAGAUGGAUGGAGUGGCCUGAUUUCCCGAGGCAGCUUCGUGCUGAGUGCCCAUCACUGGGAGUGAGUCAGACAUACAGCUCAAGGUCUGCAGUAACAGAGUCAGGGAGACAAGGCAUAUACCACAAACUCAUGAAAAGUAACAGUACAGAAAGUAAGUAACGAUACAAGGGAGGCAGUAUGUUAUUAAUUGUCAGAGAACACAAGGUAGGAAGUCUGGGGCCCUGGAGAGCCUAGCAGAGUUGCCUCAGCACUGGAAUACUUUGUGCAAGAAGCAGGAACUGGAUAGGUGGGGGGAGGGUGCUGGGUACAGGCAGCUGAUGAACAAAGAUGGAAUGCAGGGAUCAACGGGCAAGUGGCGGUUAGGGUAGAGCUGGGUGCAGGCAGUGCCAAGGGAUUGGUGGGCACAGGUCCUCCAGGCCACCUGGGAGUAGUGGGAAGAAUUGGGAAAGUUGGGCAGGAGCUGGACAGGGAGGAAACAGACUGCUGGGUCUGGCUUCCCUCUGGUGUCUAACCAUGAGCUUCUGAAGGCUUUUCCGUAGGAAAAGUUAUGAAACCCGGUGUUACAUUCUCAAGAUCACAGGACUUCUCAUCACAAAUUGUUCAUAUUAUUCUGUUAGAAACCAGUUCCAGUGCUGGUGAGUACUCUGAAUUUUUGUUUCUUAAAGAGUAUCAAAGUUCAUGAUUAUUUUAUUGUCAGUACACAUCCUCUCUAUUGUGAAGGGCACACAGGAAGCCUUGUUUUUGUUUCUCCAGUGAAGUAAUGAAGGGCAGACUGGCUCUGCUGACAUGGGCAAGUUAGUCAAUCUCUCUGCCUCCUAGGAGUAAUACACAGGGCAGUCAGAGCUUCUGUCAGUCAGAGGUGUAUCGUGAGGAUGGCCCGAGCCAGUAUCGAGACAGUCCUUAGAGACGUACCUGGCAUGCAGAGAGCUGCAGGAGGGUUUACUGACCGAAUCACAGACAAUUCUGAUAGCACUUUCCCCUGUCAGGACAGCUCAGAUAGAAACACUGGAAGUUUCAGGCCUUAUUCGAAUCUUUUCUUCUAGAAAGAGGGUUUUCAAGAGGGGUAGCCCCAGAGCCCCCUCAGAAUGGAGGGUUUGAGCUGGAAGAGGCUUAUGAGAGCAGCCAGUGCGGGGCCCCUUUUGCAGGUGAGGAAACUGAGAAUGUGGCCUCGUGGAGCAGCAGCCUCUGAACGGCUCCCUGGCUGUCUCUCCCCUCAUGCAGGGGCCUCCUCCCACCUCUGGGCUGCUGCCCUUGAUCUUUGCCCAGAGGUCACGUCCCUCAGGCCUCAGGUCAGAGGUGUGCGCCCCCCCCACCCUCCUGCCUGCCUCUUCGUCCCCUCACUCUGCUCUCUGUACUGCUCCCUGGCUGUGCCUGUAAGUGCUCGUGCGUGCACUGUGGCUCCUCCAUAAGCCUCACCAGGCAGGGGGCCUGUGGUCCUGCUCUCUUCCGGCACUUGUGUCCGGCAUGGACACAGCCCCUGGAUGAAAGAACAAAGCUUUGGAAGCCCUGGUUCGGGUAUGUCUCCUUCACAUCUCUUCCUUCCGCGGCUCAAUGUAAAGAGCAGCAAUGCGGCCAGACCCUGAGAGCAUCUCCUGGGUGCUGCUCCUCCAUCUCAAUGGGUGUUCUUUCACAUCUCAAUGGUCCUUCUUUCACACAGGCUGGAACGUGGCAGCCGGGGCCUGCUUACUGUUCUCUGUCCAACCCUGUCCUGUGCCUGGUACCCAGCAGGUGUUCACCGAGCACUUGGAAUGGAUGGUGCAAGCCCCCUCUGAUGUGGAGCCAGUGUCUGUAAUCGCUUUACUUCUCAGAACCAUGCGGUAGUUAGCAUUUCCACUUGCCGGGCACUGUCCAUCUUUUCAUCAAGGAGGUUUAUGUCUACAUAGUAGGGAUAUCCUUGAGACACAUCAGUGCAAUGGGACAAGCUCACCCUCUUUUUACCGUCUGGCUUGGGUUCCCUGCGUGAGGUGGAUACUCU